UUUUUUGUUUUCUUAUAUAUUCUUCUUUGAAGGAGAUUGAUUAACCUGUGAUGGUCUGACAGCCCAACCAUUGCCGCCGCUGACGCCUCCAGCUAUGUCUCCGGCGCCUCCUGCUGCUGCUUCUCCCGCGCCAUCACCAUCACCUUAAGGUGAUCUUGAUUUCUCAUAUAUGCGUUGAACAAUAGCCUUAAAUUAUUUCUGUAGUAUUAUGUUUAGCCUCUAACAUUAUUUUUGACUUGGCGUUUUUGUGUUGCAGAAUCACCCUAGCUAAAGUGGCAAAAGGAUGGAUGCAUGGAUCGAAGAUGGUUUCGUCAGGAUUAGAUUAUCUGGAUAUAUAGAGUCAAAUUAUCGUUCUAGUUGGUUUCGUUUAGGUACCAAGAAAAAUAUCGAUCAGCUAGGCUAGCGUUUAGGGGUUCAGAGCGUACUUCAUACGUAGUUCCCAGUGCUACUCAGUUACGUACAUUAUUAGUAGAGUUAUCAAUCAUGUAAUCGCUAUUGGGUAAUAUAUAAACUAGUAGAUGCAUAUUAUGUUAUUGCUG
RNAcentral lists this long non-coding RNA (539 nucleotides) under Triticum aestivum (bread wheat). RNAcentral's name for it is "long non-coding RNA (TAES_LNC027574)". Lineage: Eukaryota; Viridiplantae; Streptophyta; Magnoliopsida; Poales; Poaceae. The record is from RNAcentral.